This 442-nucleotide ribosomal RNA is filed under the name uncultured bacterium. RNAcentral describes it as "partial 16S ribosomal RNA". It matches the Rfam family "Bacterial small subunit ribosomal RNA", at positions 338 to 795 of the family's 1533-position model. The record is from RNAcentral.
CCUACGGGAGGCUGCAGUGGGGGAUAUUGGACAAUGAGCGCAAGCCUGACCCAGCAACGCCGCGUGAAGGAAGCAGGCUUUCUGGUUGUAAACUUCUUUUAACAGGGAAGAGCAGCACACUAUACCUCUUGCAUCCGCCACGGCUAACUACGUGACAGCAGCCGCGGUAAUACGUAAGGGGCACGCGUUUUCCGGAUGUCCUGGGUGUAAAGGGCGUGUAGCCGGGCUGACAAGUCCGAUGUGAAAUCCCGUGGCGCAACCCCGGAACUGCAUUUGAAACUGUCGGUCUGGAGUACAGGAGAGGCAGGCGGAAUUCCUAGUGUAGCGGUGAAAUGCGUAGAUAUUAGGAGGAACACCAGCGGCGAAGGCGGCCUGCUGGACGAAAACUGACGGUGAGGCUCGAAAGCGUGGGGAGCAAACAGGAUUAGAUACCCUUGUAGUC